RNAcentral lists this unclassified non-coding RNA (270 nucleotides) under uncultured fungus. RNAcentral's name for it is "partial contains 5.8S ribosomal RNA, internal transcribed spacer 2, and large subunit ribosomal RNA". The record is from RNAcentral. Lineage: Eukaryota; Fungi.
AACGCACAUUGCGCCCGCCAGCAUUCUGGCGGGCAUGCCUGUUCGAGCGUCAUUUCAACCCCUCAGGCCCUGGUGCCUGGCGUCGGGGCUCUCCCCUCGCGGGGAGGCCCCCAGAGACAGUGGCGGGCCCGCCGCGGCUCCGAGCGCAGUAGCACCAAUUCUCGCUUAGGAGGCCCGCGGUGGGCGCCCGGCCGUAAAAACCCCCCCGGCGCAAGCCGGACCCCCCCCAAGGUUGACCUCGGAUCAGGUAGGAAUACCCGCUGAACUUAA